GCCAGCAGCCAUAUCACUCUGCAACUCACAACUGGCAACCCACUGAAGCUAAGCAGGUGUGAGCCUGGUCAAUACCUGGAUGGGGGACCUCCUGGGAAAAACUAAGGUUGCUGCUGGAA
Ribosomal RNA from Lepisosteus oculatus (spotted gar), 119 nucleotides. The record is from Ensembl. Lineage: Eukaryota; Metazoa; Chordata; Actinopteri; Semionotiformes; Lepisosteidae.